This 1465-nucleotide ribosomal RNA is filed under the name Helicobacter bilis. RNAcentral's name for it is "16S ribosomal RNA". It matches the Rfam family "Bacterial small subunit ribosomal RNA". Lineage: Bacteria; Pseudomonadati; Campylobacterota; Epsilonproteobacteria; Campylobacterales; Helicobacteraceae. The record is from RNAcentral.
GAGUUUGAUCCUGGCUCAGAGUGAACGCUGGCGGCGUGCCUAAUACAUGCAAGUCGAACGAUGAAGCUUCUAGCUUGCUAGAAGUGGAUUAGUGGCGCACGGGUGAGUAAUGCAUAGGUUAUGUGCCCUUUAGUCUGGGAUAGCCACUGGAAACGGUGAUUAAUACUGGAUACUCCCUACGGGGGAAAGCUAAAGGAUCAGCCUAUGUCCUAUCAGCUUGUUGGUGAGGUAAUGGCUCACCAAGGCUAUGACGGGUAUCCGGCCUGAGAGGGUGAUCGGACACACUGGAACUGAGACACGGUCCAGACUCCUACGGGAGGCAGCAGUAGGGAAUAUUGCUCAAUGGGGGAAACCCUGAAGCAGCAACGCCGCGUGGAGGAUGAAGGUUUUAGGAUUGUAAACUCCUUUUGUAAGAGAAGAUUAUGACGGUAUCUUACGAAUAAGCACCGGCUAACUCCGUGCCAGCAGCCGCGGUAAUACGGAGGGUGCAAGCGUUACUCGGAAUCACUGGGCGUAAAGAGCGCGUAGGCGGGAGAGUAAGUCAGAUGUGAAAUCCUGUAGCUUAACUACAGAACUGCAUUUGAAACUACUUUUCUAGAGUAUGGGAGAGGUAGGUGGAAUUCUUGGUGUAGGGGUAAAAUCCGUAGAGAUCAAGAGGAAUACUCAUUGCGAAGGCGACCUGCUGGAACAUUACUGACGCUGAUGCGCGAAAGCGUGGGGAGCAAACAGGAUUAGAUACCCUGGUAGUCCACGCCCUAAACGAUGAAUGCUAGUUGUUGCCCUGCUUGUCAGGGCAGUAAUGCAGCUAACGCAUUAAGCAUUCCGCCUGGGGAGUACGGUCGCAAGAUUAAAACUCAAAGGAAUAGACGGGGACCCGCACAAGCGGUGGAGCAUGUGGUUUAAUUCGAAGAUACGCGAAGAACCUUACCUAGGCUUGACAUUGAUAGAAUCCGCUAGAGAUAGUGGAGUGCUGGCUUGCCAGAGCUUGAAAACAGGUGCUGCACGGCUGUCGUCAGCUCGUGUCGUGAGAUGUUGGGUUAAGUCCCGCAACGAGCGCAACCCUCGUCCUUAGUUGCUAGCAGUUCGGCUGAGCACUCUAAGGAGACUGCCUUCGUAAGGAGGAGGAAGGUGAGGAYGACGUCAAGUCAUCAUGGCCCUUACGCCUAGGGCUACACACGUGCUACAAUGGGACAUACAAAAAGAUGCAAUACCGCGAGGUGGAGCAAAUCUCUAAAAUGUCUCUCAGUUCGGAUUGUAGUCUGCAACUCGACUACAUAAAGCUGGAAUCGCUAGUAAUCGUGAAUCAGCAAUGUCACGGUGAAUACGUUCCCGGGUCUUGUACUCACCGCCCGUCACACCAUGGGAGUUGUAUUCGCCUUAAGUCGGGAUACUAAAUUGGUUACCGCCCACGGCGGAUGCAGCGACUGGGGUGAAGUCGUAACAAGGUAACCGUAGGUGAACCUGC